This 412-nucleotide ribosomal RNA is filed under the name uncultured bacterium. RNAcentral describes it as "bacterial SSU rRNA". It matches the Rfam family "Bacterial small subunit ribosomal RNA", at positions 361 to 765 of the family's 1533-position model. The record is from RNAcentral.
AUAUUGGACAAUGGGGGCAACCCUGAUCCAGCAAUGCCGCGUGUGUGAAGAAGGCCUUCGGGUUGUAAAGCACUUUUAUCGGGAACGAAACAUUGUCGGCCAAUACCCGGCAAGACUGACGGUACCCGAGGAAUAAGCACCGGCUAACUCCGUGCCAGCAGCCGCGGUAAUACGGAGGGUGCAAGCGUUAAUCGGAAUUACUGGGCGUAAAGCGUGCGCAGGCGGUUUGUUAAGUCUGCUGUGAAAUCCCCGAGCUCAAUGUGGGAAUUGCAGUGGAUACUGGCAAGCGGGAGUACGGUAGAGGAAGGUGGAAUUCCCGGUGUAGCAGUGAAAUUCGUAGAGAUCGGGAGGAACACCAGUGGCGAAGGCGGCCUUCUGGACCAGUACUGACGCUCAUGCACGAAAGCGUGGG